UUCCCUCAUCUUUAAGGAAAACUUUUUCAAAUAAAAGCAAAUUUUCAAAUCCAAACAAUUGUCAUCUCCCUGCCUAUGCAAUGCGCAUGCCCCAAAUGGACCAUAAUACAUUUCUGCAUUCUACAUCAAGCCCUCAGUCCAACCUCAAUCACGCAAUGAACCACCUGUUGUGACUUAAAUUUUGGAUUUGUUUAAUUGAUUACGAAGAUCACAGAUUUUUUCUUUCCCAAUAACAUGAUUCACCUCCUCUAUUGUAUUAAAUAAAUUUUAACACGUGAUCUAAAUUUAACGAUGAAAAAUUUUUAACAAUCCCCUUUACAUUCCCUAACAAUUUAUUUCUUUUAUGAACCCUAUAAACAUACAAUUAACCUAUUGAGACCUAAAUAAACCCGCAUAUAUAUAUAAAAAAAUCCCUUUAAACCGUAAUUACUCCAAAUAAUUGACUUAAAUUGGAUAAAGAAAAAUACUUUUGGUCUACUUCCCCUACUGGUACAAUGUUUUUAAGGAAAUCCAUCAAAAUAGAACAUCUGUACAUUUCAACUGAUUGACGGUAAAAUUAAAAAAGAAUUUUUAUUAUAAUUAUGUUUUAUAUGCUUACCUCUCGCGGAACGAUUUAUUAUAUAAUGCAAUGUAUUUAUGUGUUUCUCAGUCGUGCCUGAAGAAGAUUGUUAAAUCGAAACAUGUCGCACUGAAACAAAUCUAAAUAAAGAAUUUUCAUCGUUUCUAUGAGA
Onthophagus taurus is the source of this 731-nucleotide non-coding RNA. Lineage: Eukaryota; Metazoa; Arthropoda; Insecta; Coleoptera; Scarabaeidae. The record is from RefSeq and is a predicted model, not a curated record.